AUUGAACGCUGGCGGCAGGCUUAACACAUGCAAGUCGAGCGGGGUGAUGGUGCUUGCACUAUCACUUAGCGGCGGACGGGUGAGUAAUGCUUAGGAAUCUGCCUAUUAGUGGGGGACAACAUCUCGAAAGGGAUGCUAAUACCGCAUACGUCCUACGGGAGAAAGCAGGGGAUCACUUGUGACCUUGCGCUAAUAGAUGAGCCUAAGUCGGAUUAGCUAGUUGGUGGGGUAAAGGCCUACCAAGGCGACGAUCUGUAGCGGGUCUGAGAGGAUGAUCCGCCACACUGGGACUGAGAAACGGCCCAGACUCCUACGGGAGGCAGCAGUGGGGAAUAUUGGACAAUGGGGGGAACCCUGAUCCAGCCAUGCCGCGUGUGUGAAGAAGGCCUUAUGGUUGUAGAGCACUUUAAGCGAGGAGGAGGCUCUUUUGGUUAAUACCCAAGAUGAGUGGACGUUACUCGCAGAAUAAGCACCGGCUAACUCUGUGCCAGCCGCCGCGGUAA
RNAcentral lists this ribosomal RNA (503 nucleotides) under uncultured bacterium. Its description in RNAcentral is "partial 16S ribosomal RNA". It matches the Rfam family "Bacterial small subunit ribosomal RNA", at positions 30 to 523 of the family's 1533-position model. The record is from RNAcentral.